RNAcentral lists this unclassified non-coding RNA (149 nucleotides) under uncultured Chaetomiaceae. Its description in RNAcentral is "sequence contains ITS2". The record is from RNAcentral. Lineage: Eukaryota; Fungi; Ascomycota; Sordariomycetes; Sordariales.
CAACCAUCAAGCCCUGCUUGUGUUGGGGUCCUGCGGCUGCCCGCAGGCCCUGAAAACCAGUGGCGGGCUCGCUAGUCACACCGAGCGCAGUAAUACAUCUCGCUUAGGUCGUGCGGCGGGUUCUUGCCGUUAAACACCCCCCUUCCAAA